AACGAACGCUGGCGGCAGGCUUAACACAUGCAAGUCGAGCGAGACCUUCGGGCCUAGCGGCGGACGGGUGAGUAACGAGUGGGAACGUGCCCUUCUCUAAGGAAUAGCCCCGGGAAACUGGGCGUAAUAACGCAUACGCCCUUAGGGGGUAAGAUUUAUCGGAGAAGGAUCGGCCCGGGUUGGUUUAGGUAGUUGGUGGGGUAAUGGCCCACCAAGCCGACGAUCCAUAGCUGGUUGGAGAGGAUGAUCAGCCACACUGGGACUGAGACACAGCCCAGACUCCUACGGGAGACAGCAGUGGAGUAUCUUAUGCAAUGGAGGCAGACCUAGUCUAGCCAUGCCGCGUGAGUGAGGAAGGCCUUAGGGUUGUAAAGCUCUUUCAGCUGGAGAGAUAGUGACGGUACCAGCAGAAGAAGCCCCGGCUAACUCCGUG
RNAcentral lists this ribosomal RNA (433 nucleotides) under uncultured bacterium. RNAcentral's name for it is "partial 16S ribosomal RNA". It matches the Rfam family "Bacterial small subunit ribosomal RNA", at positions 29 to 507 of the family's 1533-position model. The record is from RNAcentral.